Molecule: ribosomal RNA, 490 nt
Filed under: uncultured bacterium
Lineage: Bacteria
Description: partial 16S ribosomal RNA
Rfam family: Bacterial small subunit ribosomal RNA
Source: RNAcentral
AGUGAACGCUGGCGGCAGGCCUAAUACAUGCAAGUCGAACGGCAGCACAGUGGAGCUUGCUCCAUGGGUGGCGAGUGGCGGACGGGUGAGGAAUACAUGGGAAUCUGCCCAGUCGUGGGGGAUAACGUAGGGAAACUUACGCUAAUACCGCAUGCGCCCUUCGGGGGAAAGCCGGGGACCUUCGGGCCUGGCGCGAUUGGAUGAGCCCAUGUUCGAUUAGCUAGUUGGCGGGGUAAAGGCCCACCAAGGCGACGAUCGAUAGCUGGUCUGAGAGGAUGAUCAGCCACACUGGGACUGAGACACGGCCCAGACUCCUACGGGAGGUAGCAGUAGGGAAUAUUGGACAAAGGGCGCAAGCCUGAUCCAGCCAUGCCGCGUGAGUGAAGAAGGCCCUCGGGUUGUAAAGCUCUUUUGUCCGGGAAGAAAAGCAUCGGGCUAAUACCUCGGUGUUCUGACGGUACCGGAAGAAUAAGCACCGGCUAACUUCGUG